UGGGGAAUAUUGCGCAAUGGGGGAAACCCUGACGCAGCCAUGCCGCGUGAGUGAAGAAGGUCUUCGGAUCGUAAAGCUCUUUCAACGGUGAAGAUGAUGACGGUAGCCGUAGAAGAAGUCCCGGCUAACUCCGUGCCAGCAGCCGCGGUAAUACGGAGGGGACUAGCGUUGUUCGGAAUUACUGGGCGUAAAGAGUUCGUAGGCGGACUAGCAAGUUAGAGGUGAAAUCCCAGGGCUCAACCUUGGAACUGCCUUUAAAACUGCUAGUCUAGAGACCGGAAGAGGUUAGGGGAAUACCUAGUGUAGAGGUGAAAUUCGUAGAUAUUAGGUGGAACACCAGUGGCGAAGGCGCCUAACUGGUCCGGUACUGACGCUGAGGAACGAAAGCGUGGGGAGCAAACAGGAUUAGAUACCCUGGUAGUCCACACCGUAAACGAUGAAUGCCAGUCGUCGGGUAGCAUGCUAUUCGGUGACACACCUAACGGAUUAAGCAUUCCGCCU
RNAcentral lists this ribosomal RNA (501 nucleotides) under uncultured bacterium. RNAcentral's name for it is "bacterial SSU rRNA". It matches the Rfam family "Bacterial small subunit ribosomal RNA", at positions 355 to 874 of the family's 1533-position model. The record is from RNAcentral.